This 502-nucleotide ribosomal RNA is filed under the name uncultured Pseudomonas sp. Its description in RNAcentral is "bacterial SSU rRNA". It matches the Rfam family "Bacterial small subunit ribosomal RNA", at positions 880 to 1382 of the family's 1533-position model. The record is from RNAcentral. Lineage: Bacteria; Pseudomonadati; Pseudomonadota; Gammaproteobacteria; Pseudomonadales; Pseudomonadaceae.
GUUGCCAGCCCGCUCAGAAACUCAAAGGAAGUUGACGGGGCCCGGCACAGCGGUGGAGCAUGUGGUUAAUUCGAAGCAACGCGAAGAACCUUACCAGGCCUUGACAUGCAGAGAACUUUCCAGAGAUGGAUUGGUGCCUUCGGGAACUCUGACACAGGUGCUGCAUGGCUGUCGUCAGCUCGUGUCGUGAGAUGCUGGGUUAAGUCCCGUAACGAGCGCAACCCUUGUCCUUAGUUACCAGCACGUUAUGGUGGGCACUCUAAGGAGACUGCCGGUGACAAACCGGAGGAAGGUGGGGAUGACGUCAAGUCAUCAUGGCCCUUACGGCCUGGGCUACACACGUGCUACAAUGGUCGGUACAAAGGGUUGCCAAGCCGCGAGGUGGAGCUAAUCCCAUAAAACCGAUCGUAGUCCGGAUCGCAGUCUGCAACUCGACUGCGUGAAGUCGGAAUCGCUAGUAAUCGUGAAUCAGAAUGUCACGGUGAAUACGUUCCCGGGCCUU